Molecule: ribosomal RNA, 509 nt
Filed under: uncultured bacterium
Lineage: Bacteria
Description: bacterial SSU rRNA
Rfam family: Bacterial small subunit ribosomal RNA
Source: RNAcentral
AGGGUUCGAUCAUGGCUCAGGACGAACGCUGGCGGUGCGCCUUAUGCAUGCAAGUCGAGCGAAGCUUUUCAGUAGUUUACUACAGAAAAUGACUGAGCGGCGAACGGGUGAGUAACGCGUGAGCAAUCUACCUUAGUUACAGGGAUAGCCCGAGGAAACUCGGAUUAAUACCUGAUAUUCUUUAUUUCUCGCAUGAGAAUAAAAGGAAAGGUCAGCCGAACUAAGAUGAGCUCGCGUUCUAUCAGCUAGUUGGUGAGGUAAAAGCUUACCAAGGCUACGACGGAUAGCUGGUCUGAGAGGACGAUCAGCCACACUGGGACUGAGACACGGCCCAGACUCCUACGGGAGGCUGCAGCAGGGAAUAUUGUGCAAUGAACGAAAGUUUGACACAGCGACACCGCGUGUGGGAUGACGGAUCUAGGUUUGUAAACCACUUUCAGGAGGGAAGAGAAUGACGGUACCUCCACAAGAAGCCCCGGCCAACUACGUGCCAGCAGCCGCGGUAAUAC